AAGGAAUAUUGGUCAAUGGACGCAAGUCUGAACCAGCCAUGCCGCGUGAAGGAUGAAGGUCCUCUGGAUUGUAAACUUCUUUUAUCUGGGACGAAAACGGGAUUUUUAUCCCAAUUGACGGUACCAGAGGAAUAAGCACCGGCUAACUCCGUGCCAGCAGCCGCGGUAAUACGGAGGGUGCGAGCGUUAUCCGGAUUUACUGGGUUUAAAGGGUGCGUAGGUGGGCUUAUAAGUCAGUGGUGAAAUCUCCGAGCUUAACUUGGAAACUGCCGUUGAUACUAUAGGUCUUGAAUUAUCUGGAGGUAAGCGGAAUAUGUCAUGUAGCGGUGAAAUGCUUAGAUAUGACAUAGAACACCCAUUGCGAAGGCAGCUUACUACAUGUAAAUUGACGCUGAGGCACGAAAGCGUGGGGA
Molecule: ribosomal RNA, 413 nt
Filed under: uncultured bacterium
Lineage: Bacteria
Description: bacterial SSU rRNA
Rfam family: Bacterial small subunit ribosomal RNA
Source: RNAcentral